This 433-nucleotide ribosomal RNA is filed under the name uncultured Ruminococcus sp. RNAcentral describes it as "partial 16S ribosomal RNA". It matches the Rfam family "Bacterial small subunit ribosomal RNA", at positions 341 to 792 of the family's 1533-position model. The record is from RNAcentral. Lineage: Bacteria; Bacillati; Bacillota; Clostridia; Eubacteriales; Oscillospiraceae.
ACGGAAGGCAGCAGUGGGGAAUAUUGCACAAUGGGCGCAAGCCUGAUGCAGCGAUGCCGCGUGAGGGAAGAAGGUUUUCGGAUUGUAAACCUCUGUCAACAGGGACGAAAAUGACGGUACCUGUGUAGGAAGCUCCGGCUAACUACGUGCCAGCAGCCGCGGUAAUACGUAGGGAGCAAGCGUUAUCCGGAAUUACUGGGUGUAAGGGAGUGUAGGCGGGACUGUAAGUCAGAUGUGAAAUAUGCCGGCUCAACUGGCAGACUGCAUUUGAAACUGCGGUUCUUGAGUGAAGUAGAGGUAAGCGGAAUUCCUAGUGUAGCGGUGAAAUGCGUAGAUAUUAGGAGGAACAUCAGUGGCGAAGGCGGCUUACUGGGCUUUAACUGACGCUGAGGCUCGAAAGCGUGGGGAGCAAACAGGAUUAGAUACCCUGGUA